Molecule: ribosomal RNA, 407 nt
Filed under: uncultured prokaryote
Description: bacterial SSU rRNA
Rfam family: Bacterial small subunit ribosomal RNA
Source: RNAcentral
UGGGGAAUAUUACACAAUGGGCGGAAGCCUGAUGCAGCAACGCCGCGUGAGGGACGACGGCCUUCGGGUUGUAAACCUCUUUUAGCAGGGAAGAAGCGUGAGUGACGGUACCUGCAGAAAAAGCACCGGCUAACUACGUGCCAGCAGCCGCGGUAAUACGUAGGGUGCAAGCGUUAUCCGGAAUUAUUGGGCGUAAAGAGCUCGUAGGCGGUUUGUCGCGUCUGCUGUGAAAUCCCGAGGCUCAACCUCGGGCCUGCAGUGGGUACGGGCAGACUAGAGUGCGGUAGGGGAGAUUGGAAUUCCUGGUGUAGCGGUGGAAUGCGCAGAUAUCAGGAGUAACACCGAUGGCGAAGGCAGAUCUCUGGGCCGUAACUGACGCUGAGGAGCGAAAGGGUGGGGAGCAAACA